GUCAAGAUGAAUCACUUACAUUACUUUCAUGAUCUUUCUGAGUCUUCCCCAGCAGUAGAAACCUGAAUUUUUAAAAAUCCACAUCAACAAAAAAAUGAGCCGAAAAGCCAAAAACCACACGGAGGGUAUUAGUUUCCUUUGUAGUUAAGAAAUGUUCCCCUUUCUCAGGAUACGCGACAAGAAACUGGGAAGCUUCUGAAGCACCAUAGAAACUAGCUAGAAGGAAUGCUUGUUUUAGGCUGCAGUGGACAAAUGGGCGCUUGUUGCUAGAGAGAUGCUGAUAAAUAUUUAAUAUAUCUGAAUGGUGUCCAGAAAUACUGUCAUACCUGUGUUGGGUUCUCUCAGGAAAAAGAAGAAUGGCCGAUCUGCUUUAAAAAAAGGAAUCCGAGACCUUUUCAGUAACAACAGAGCUGCAGGAGGGAAAGAAUAGGAGACUAUUACAUUUUUUAUUCAUUUGAGGGAAGUCACUAUUAAAAUUGGAGUCGAGGUCAGUUAUAUCCCUUGAUUUCUGAAGAAAUCAGAACAUCCUAAUGUAUUUGUGUAGUGUUAUGAUGGGGUACAAAUGGGAAAAUUAAAGAGAAAAGAUGCCACUUAGCAACCCCGUGUCCCAUUUUCAAAAUGUUCCAUGGAAUGAAUUCCUUACUGAAGGUAAUUUUCAGAAUGA
Molecule: long non-coding RNA, 664 nt
Filed under: Lynx pardinus (Iberian lynx)
Lineage: Eukaryota; Metazoa; Chordata; Mammalia; Carnivora; Felidae
Source: RNAcentral